Molecule: ribosomal RNA, 253 nt
Filed under: uncultured bacterium
Lineage: Bacteria
Description: partial 16S ribosomal RNA
Rfam family: Bacterial small subunit ribosomal RNA
Source: RNAcentral
UACGUAGGGACCAAGCGUUGUUCGGAUUUACUGGGCGUAAAGGGCGCGUAGGCGGCAAUUCAAGUCAUCUGUGAAAUCUCCGGGCUUAACCCGGAACGGUCAGGUGAUACUGUUUUGCUAGAGUGCGGAAGGGGCAAUCGGAAUUCUCGGUGUAGCGGUGAAAUGCGUAGAUAUCGGGAGGAACACCAGUGGCGAAAGCGGCUCACUGGACCACAACUGACGCUGAGGCGCGAAAGCUAGGGGAGCAAACAGG